AACGAACGCUGGCGGCAUGCCUAACACAUGCAAGUCGAACGAUGCCUUCGGGCCUAGUGGCGCACGGGUGCGUAACGCGUGGGAAUCUGCCUUUCGGUUCGGAAUAACUCAGGGAAACUUGAGCUAAUACCGGGUAACGUCGCAAGACCAAAGAUUUAUCACCGAAAGAUGAGCCCGCGUAGGAUUAGCUAGUUGGUGAGGUAAAGGCUCACCAAGGCGACGAUCCUUAGCUGGUCUGAGAGGAUGAUCAGCCACACUGGGACUGAGACACGGCCCAGACUCCUACGGGAGGCAGCAGUGGGGAAUAUUGGACAAUGGGCGAAAGCCUGAUCCAGCAAUGCCGCGUGAGUGAUGAAGGCCUUAGGGUUGUAAAGCUCUUUUACCCGGGAAGAUAAUGACGGUACCGGGAGAAUAAGCCCCGGCUAACUCCGUG
Molecule: ribosomal RNA, 433 nt
Filed under: uncultured bacterium
Lineage: Bacteria
Description: partial 16S ribosomal RNA
Rfam family: Bacterial small subunit ribosomal RNA
Source: RNAcentral